GUCCACGCCCUAAACGAUGUCGACUGGUUGUUGGGGUUUGACACCCUUAGUAACGUAGCUAACGCGCGAAGUCGACCGCCUGGGGAGUACGGUCGCAAGAUUAAAACUCAAAGGAAUUGACGGGGGCCCGCACAAGCGGUGGAUGAUGUGGAUUAAUUCGAUGCAACGCGAAAAACCUUACCUGGCCUUGACAUGCAUGUAGUAGGAGCUUGAAAGAGCGACGAGGUAGCAAUACCAGCAUGCACAGGUGCUGCAUGGCUGUCGU
RNAcentral lists this ribosomal RNA (265 nucleotides) under uncultured bacterium. RNAcentral's name for it is "partial 16S ribosomal RNA". It matches the Rfam family "Bacterial small subunit ribosomal RNA", at positions 793 to 1055 of the family's 1533-position model. The record is from RNAcentral.